Small nuclear RNA from Chlorocebus sabaeus (green monkey), 108 nucleotides. Lineage: Eukaryota; Metazoa; Chordata; Mammalia; Primates; Cercopithecidae. The record is from Ensembl.
GUGCUCACUUCAGCAGCGUAUAUACUAUAAUUGGAAUAAUGUAGAGAAGAUUACCAUGGCCUCUGCACAAAUAUGACACAUUGAUUCUUGGAUAUAUUCUAUAAAUUA